CUAACUACGUAAUCCCGCUAAUCAUAUUAAUUAUGAGGAAAGCGGGAUGGUGCGUAGUAUAAAUUCCACUAUAUGCUGGAAAAUCUGACGAAGACGAUAGUACCCCGCUUUCAUGUAACCAUGAAGGUUUGGCGGGGUGAAAAUUUAUCGUUAAACCCAUGAAGACACGCGAUUGGUCGGUACGGGUUGGCAGACAAUCAGCAGGAAAGACUACCGCAUUUUUUAAAAAAUGCGGAAAUCUCAAAUCACAAAACUCAAUGACCAACUCAUACAUUGUUGGGAUUUGGAGCUUAAGAUUUGUGAUUUCUCAAAAUGUUAUACAUUUUGAGUUGUAUCCUCAGAGACUACACGUGGAACCCGCCGAUGAGGCGAGGAUGAUAUAGUCCAAGUUUGAAACAUUUAUUG
RNAcentral lists this non-coding RNA (405 nucleotides) under Candidatus Gottesmanbacteria bacterium GW2011_GWA1_43_11. The record is from RNAcentral. Lineage: Bacteria; Candidatus Gottesmaniibacteriota.